GUGGCACUCCUUGGCAUUCCCAGUGUUCAGUUCAGAUACCCAAGUGCCAGCGGGUGGAUGUGCCAGUGCCAAGCGAUCUCAUACGCUAUAUAAGGUUACGCGAUAAAGUUUACAGGAAAAUUUAUGAAUAAAUGAAAACCUGAUGUCCAUGAGGAUUAGAGUGAAUAUUCCCAAGCUUUUCACGAGGCGUAAGUGCAUACACACGCCUGAGAAGACGAGGAAAAAAGGUGCCCGCACGCCCGCGGACCUCGCUCAUUACAGCCGCCCGUGAGGAAGGCCAUUUCGGGCGUGAUAAAUCGCCGAAUCAAAACUGGUCUUGAGAAAAAGAAA
Penaeus vannamei (Pacific white shrimp) is the source of this 330-nucleotide non-coding RNA. NCBI's taxonomy places the organism in Eukaryota, Metazoa, Arthropoda, Malacostraca, Decapoda, Penaeidae. The record is from RefSeq and is a predicted model, not a curated record.